AUUGCUUUUGUGACAUCUGUGAGAAACUCCUAACAAAGCUGAUAAUGAAAAUGUUAUCAACUAUUUAGGUACAAUCAGUCCAUAUUACAAAGUUUAUUAACUGCAGGUGAAACAAACAGCAACUGGACACAGUGGUAGGUGAUUCUGAAGGUUUAAUUUUUUAGAGCUGAGAAACAAAACUGUGCUAAGUAUGCGUGGUCUGAAAAAAAGCAAGCUUUUCAGGAAAAAUACACCUGGAUACCAAAGACAUCUGAGAUGACCCCACAAAGGUACAAGGGAUUUUGAAGGUCUGUUACAGAAACUAUUUUUAAUAGUUUAAUAGAGGAAGAAAUAAAAAGAAACAUUCACUUCAGGUACAACCUUUACUCCAUUGCUUAUGUGUCAUUUAUGCCUAUUGGAUUGAGUUGCAGACACAUGCAGUAGGAAUGAAUAAAUCCUGAAAGUCAGCUUAUCAAAAAUAGAUUGCCAAGUCAUGAUUUCCGCUUUCCUCAGUUCAAGUGGAUUGCCAAGUAUCCCCUGGGUUUUUACUGAAAUUUGGAGAAGAACCUUCUGAGGAAUAACUGACCUGACAGAGAAGACUUUAGAGGAGGCUGGAAGACAAGGAGUAUUUUGAAGAUGGAUUCUGAUAGAAAAUCCCUGAAGACAGCUGGCUUAAAAGGUGAAGUAUGGUCAGCAUUUUUCUCCACAACAGGAUGCUGCUGCGUGCACCAACUGGCACACCACUUCCUUUAUCCUGACAGCUGCUGGAUGCUGAUAUGGAUACAUAUUUAACAUUUUCCUCAGUCCAGCAUACUAAUAUUAAGCCUUACUCCGCCUUUUGCUAAAGGUUCAGCAGAGGUAUAUACCUAGAAAUGUUAAAGCUCCUCUUUGAAUCCAGGUUCAGAAGAACAAGCCCAGUCCUGAUGUGAACACAGCAAUGUUUAGAGCGUGCAGUCAUGCCACACUUGCAAUUGUGGGGCUUCUCCACUGACAUGCUGUGGAAAGGAACAGCACAUCGAGCACUGAUGCAAGAGUCAAAUUGGAACUGUUUUCAGGGGAAAAAGUGACUAACAGACCAUGCUUGCGUGACAGGCCACAAGAAACAGGUUUCAUAUGCUGAGACAAGAGGGGAACUCCACCCUGCACCCUGAGCUUCCAGUCUUGGGUCUUGAUCUAAUGGCAAAAGUCCUCAGAGACCCUCUAAGAACUACUUCCUCUUCUCUGGUAAAAUAAAGCUUCUGCUUCUCUCA
Non-coding RNA from Taeniopygia guttata (zebra finch), 1229 nucleotides. NCBI's taxonomy places the organism in Eukaryota, Metazoa, Chordata, Aves, Passeriformes, Estrildidae. The record is from RefSeq and is a predicted model, not a curated record.